GAAGUGUGGACGCCAGUCUGCAUGGAGCCGACCUUGAAAUACCACCCUUUAAUGUUUGAUGUUCUAACGUUGACCCGUAAUCCGGGUUGCGGACAGUGUCUGGUGGGUAGUUUGACUGGGGCGGUCUCCUCCUAAAGAGUAACGGAGGAGCACGAAGGUUGGCUAAUCCUGGUCGGACAUCAGGAGGUUAGUGCAAUGGCAUAAGCCAGCUUGACUGCGAGCGUGACGGCGCGAGCAGGUGCGAAAGCAGGUCAUAGUGAUCCGGUGGUUCUGAAUGGAAGGGCCAUCGCUCAACGGAUAAAAGGUACUCCGGGGAUAACAGGCUGAUACCGCCCAAGAGUUCAUAUCGACGGCGGUGUUUGGCACCUCGAUGUCGGCUCAUCACAUCCUGGGGCUGAAGUAGGUCCCAAGGGUAUGGCUGUUCGCCAUUUAAAGUGGUACGCGAGCUGGGUUUAGAACGUCGUGAGACAGUUCGGUCCCUAUCUGCCGUGGGCGCUGGAGAACUGAGGGGGGCUGCUCCUAGUACGAGAGGACCGGAGUGGACGCAUCACUGGUGUU
This 558-nucleotide ribosomal RNA is filed under the name Escherichia coli. RNAcentral describes it as "partial 23S ribosomal RNA". It matches the Rfam family "Bacterial large subunit ribosomal RNA", at positions 2159 to 2716 of the family's 2925-position model. Lineage: Bacteria; Pseudomonadati; Pseudomonadota; Gammaproteobacteria; Enterobacterales; Enterobacteriaceae. The record is from RNAcentral.